This is an RNA transcript of Mus musculus (house mouse), 6204 nucleotides long. It is a transcript of the gene named transmembrane and tetratricopeptide repeat containing 2, with no coding region annotated. The record is from RefSeq and is marked validated. Lineage: Eukaryota; Metazoa; Chordata; Mammalia; Rodentia; Muridae. The transcript has 13 exons.
AGCUUAGGGUGGUGGGCUGGCCACGCAGGCGCGUGGGGCCGCGACGAGAACCCCACGCGGGAGCUUUUGGAGUCCCCAGUCGCCGCUUCUCACUUCACUGGAGAGGGGUCCGGGAGGGAACCAAUAAAGAGUGAAUGUGCCGCAGCCGCGGUGGCGGCCGAGUUGCUGCGAACGGCCCCGGAGUCGUGCGCCCGGGAGGCGGCGAAGGGAGGCGGUUCGCCUCGUCCCUCCCACCCGCCCCUUUCUCUCUCGGUCUCUCUCUCUGUCUCUCCUUUCCUCCCGCUGGUCCCAGAUCCUCGCUCUGUCCAGCCCUUUGGUCCCCCCUCUUGCACUCUUCUAUCUCCGCAGUCCUUUACCUUAGGGCGUCCCAAAGUGCCAUGGGUUAGGGUGGGGACCGCGAGCCGCGGGAAAAGGACAAGCCCCGAUUCUCCGCCGGGGGGCGUGAAGCCGAUCGCCGCUUGCCUCUCGCGGUUGUCGGGUAUGGGGAGAGCGGUGUGAGCCCGCAACCCCCGGAGCACGCAGGAACAGCGGAGCCCGGCGCCCCGAGGAGGAGCCCGGGAUCGGAAGAAGGAGAGGAGGGAGGACGAGGAGGCGGGCGGGGAAGCCGGGGAAAAGUGCAGCCAAGGAGGAGAAGGCGGCGGAAGGUGGGGAUUGAUGCUUCUGUUUUUUGUUGCCGCUGCUGCGCUCGCGCUGGGAGCCAAGCCGGAGGGAAGGCGGUGGAGAGAUGAUUGCAGAGUUGGUGAGCAGCGCUCUGGGGCUCGCCUUGUAUCUCAACACCCUGAGUGCUGAUUUCUGCUACGAUGACAGCCGUGCUAUCAAGACUAAUCAAGACCUCCUGCCAGAAACCCCCUGGACACACAUUUUCUACAAUGACUUUUGGGGGACUCUUCUAACCCACAGCGGUAGCCACAAGUCCUACCGGCCACUCUGCACUCUCUCUUUUCGACUGAAUCAUGCCAUUGGAGGGCUGAAUCCCUGGAGCUAUCACCUUGUCAAUGUCCUGUUGCAUGCGGCUGUCACCGGCCUCUUCACACGCUUCUCCAAGGCCCUCCUUGGGGACGGAUACUGGACCUUCAUGGCUGGCUUGAUGUUUGCUUCACACCCCAUCCACACGGAAGCGGUGGCGGGCAUCGUGGGACGAGCAGAUGUGGGCGCUAGUCUCUUUUUUCUCCUGUCCCUGCUCUGCUACAUUAAGCACUGUUCUACAAGAGGCUACUCUGCCAGAACUUGGGGCUGGUUCCUGGGGACUGGAUUGUGCGCUGGAUGCAGCAUGCUUUGGAAAGAGCAAGGAGUGACUGUCCUGGCAGUUUCAGCCGUUUAUGACGUCUUUGUCUUCCACAGGCUAAAAAUGAAGCAGAUCCUGCCUACCAUUUACAAAAGGAAGAACUUGUCUCUUUUUCUCAGCAUUAGCUUGUUAACAUUCUGGGGGACCUGCCUUUUGGGUGCCCGGCUGUACUGGAUGGGCAAUAAACCACCAAGCUUCUCCAACUCCGACAACCCCGCGGCUGACUCGGACAGCCUUUUGGCUCGCACGCUCACCUUCUUGUAUUUACCUACCAAGAACCUCUGGCUAUUGCUCUGCCCGGACACCCUGAGCUUUGAUUGGUCCAUGGAUGCCGUGCCUCUUCUCAAAACAGUUUGUGAUUGGAGAAAUCUACACACUGUGGCCUUCUAUUCUGGACUUCUCCUCCUUGCCUACUGUGGUUUGAAGAACCCAAGUUUAGAAGGAGAGUGCAACGGGAAAGCCUUGACAAAUGGCAAGCAGAAUGCAAAUGGCCAUAGCUGCCACUCAGACGUGGAGUACCGGAACUCAGAAAUGAAGCCCAGCUUUGCAUCCAAAGUAGAGAAUGGAAUUAAAAAUUGUGUACCACAGAGAACUCAGCUCCCGUCCACGGAGAACAUUGUUAUUCUGUCCUUAUCUUUGUUGAUAAUACCUUUUAUUCCUGCCACGAACCUGUUUUUCUAUGUCGGCUUUGUAAUCGCAGAGCGAGUCUUAUAUAUUCCCAGUAUGGGCUUCUGCCUUCUGAUCACAGUGGGUGCCAGAGCCCUGUAUGUCAAAGUACAAAAGAGGUUUCUCAAGAGCUUGGUUUUUUAUGCUACUGCCACGUUAAUUGUCUUCUACGGAGUCAAGACUGCGAUCAGGAACGGAGACUGGCAGAACGAGGAGAUGCUGUAUAGAUCAGGGAUCAAAGUGAACCCAGCCAAAGCAUGGGGUAACCUUGGAAAUGUUCUGAAGAGUCAGAGUAAAAUCUCUGAAGCUGAAAGCGCCUACAGAAAUGCUCUGUUCUACCGCAGCAACAUGGCUGACAUGCUGUAUAAUCUAGGGUUGCUGCUCCAAGAGAACAGCAGGUUUGCAGAAGCUCUUCACUAUUACAAACUGGCCAUUGGGAGCAGGCCUACCCUGGCUUCUGCCUAUUUAAACACCGGCAUUAUUCUCAUGAACCAAGGGAAGACAGAAGAAGCCCGGCGGACAUUCCUCAAGUGUUCUGAGAUUCCAGAUGAGAACCUGAAGGAUCCUCAUGCACAUAAGAGUUCUGUUACCAGCUGUCUGUACAACCUCGGGAAACUCUAUCACGAGCAAGGACGCUAUGAGGAAGCCCUGAGUGUAUAUAGGGAAGCAAUUCAGAAGAUGCCAAGGCACUUUGCCCCUCAGAGCCUGUACAACAUGAUGGGUGAAGCCUACAUGAGACUGAGUAAGCUUCCUGAAGCUGAGCAUUGGUACAUGGAAUCACUGAGAUCCAAGACCGAUCACAUCCCUGCUCAUCUCACCUACGGGAAGCUGCUCGCCUUAACAGGUCGUAAGAGUGAGGCUGAAAAGUUCUUCUUGAAGGCUAUUGAGCUGGAUCCUACCAAAGGAAACUGUUACAUGCACUAUGGUCAGUUUCUCCUAGAAGAGUCUCGCCUCACAGAAGCAGCAGAGAUGGCAAAGAAAGCAGCUGAGCUGGACAACACAGAGUUCGAUGUCGUCUUCAAUGCUGCCCAUAUGCUCAGACAAGCAAGCCUCAAUGAAGCCGCUGAGAAGUAUUACGAUCUGGCAGCAAGACUGAGACCUAAUGGGAGACAUCAAGCAAGGCAUCUGGACAAAGGCUAUACGUAAAGUUUAUCCUGCGGGCUGGCUGAUUAGCAGAUAGCAUUGCUCUCCUGCUACAGUGACCUUGGAUUACAUGAUCAUACGGCUCUGAUCGCUCAAGCAUCCCACACAUGGAAGGUGAACCUGUUUCAAGGAGGCUCCAUUUUGUUUAUGACAGAUAAUUCUUAACUUUUAUAUAUAUAUAUAUAUUUUUUUUUUUUGAUUUCUGAGACAGGAACUCAUUCUGUAGCUCAGGCUAACUUCAAAUGUAUUUACCUCACUCCGCCAAAUGCUGUGUAUAUAGACUUCAGCCAUCACUCCUGGACACACGUUUCUGUUGAGAAACACUACUAGUGGGACAUGACAGUGUACAAUUGUAAUCUCAGCAUUUGAAGGGCAGAAGCAAGAGAUAUGUGGUUUCAGCACCAGCCAUCGCUACAUAAGGAGUUCUAGGAUGGUUUGGAACCUGCACAACACUGACUUAAAAAAAAAAUCUUGAUUCCUACGUAACAUUUUGCAAAGUACCCUGCUGCUCUCAUGAACCUAGGGGCCAUUCUGCAUCUCAAUGGGCGACUGCAGAAGGCUGAGGCCAACUACCUGAGGGCCCUGCAACUCAAGCCAGAUGAUGUCAUCACUCAGUCUAAUCUCCGCAAGCUGUGGAACAUCAUGGAAAAGCAAGGUUUGAAGACCUCCAAGACCUGACACAGGAGAACUCCCCUCCUCCUCCUCCGCUUGUCAGAGCUGGCUUCAUUAACAGACAGAACUUCCCAGGAGUGCUGUGAUAAAAGCUCAAGGGCGACUUCAAGCCCAGGACAAAGGUCACUAUGGUUACUGCCACUGCUGGGAGAAUCCACUUUGCUAUGGGCACAGCCCUUAACACCAAAAAGGGGAACAUUGAGACCCUCUGGGAGGGUGUAAACUGUUACCCGUAGACUGUAAACCAGAGCACCUAAGAGGAUUUCGGAGAGUUCCUAGAAAGUAGAGGGGUCUCAUUUGCAGAUGUCCACUUUGGAGGGAGAAUUUGAAAUUCUAUUGUUUCUUAAACACUGUGAGAGGAAGUCAGAGAGCCCAUCCAGCCACAGUGAACUCUUAAGGGGGUGAUUAACACAAGUGUAAAUCCUCAGUGAGCCACCGGUUGUCCUUAUGCUGCUGCCUUCCCUCUUUGGGACAGCCUGCUUAUUGAUUGCUGAAGCUAAUCCAACUUUGGUUUUAACAGCGUGUCGGGAUCUGUCAGAAUCUCCAGUUGUUUCUUGGCUCGUGCACAUAAACAUUUUAUGGUUUGAAUGUCCUAGGCUUCCUAAGUGUUUAGCAUCAUUUUUCUGUCAUGUCUCAAAACGAACGUGUGGAGAAGAGCUAACCACUCGUAGAGGUGAUACAAGAGGACUUAGAGUGGCCUUGGGUGUGUGUCACAAAGGCAUUUUCAUUUCGAUAUUGUCAGUAUUGUCUCCCGUGUUGUUUAGUAGAUCUCAUUGUAUUAAUUUUUUUGAAAUUAUCUUCUAUGAUGUCUAUCCAUGGUUACUAUACAUGUUGUUCACUAAGGCUGAAAAAAAAAUGGGGAUAUAAGUGUUCCAGUUCUCAUAACUAAUCAUGACUAUAUAUGACACAGUCCUCGGUGCUUCCUAGCCAGUGGUUGCUAUAAUAAGCCAAUGCAGGGUAAGUACAUAAGGAUUGUUGCCAACGACUUUGUGUUUUGAAAAGAGCUGAUAUGAAAUACCCAUUGUGUCCUCGCAUACCUAAACACCAGUGCGGAUAAAUCCUGGAGGGUUGUCUCAUUUUGCUCUUCCUGAAAGAUGUCAAAAAUAAAUUAUUUUAAGAUGCCAUGGAGUAAACAUCAGCCUGCAUAUAUCUCCAUCGUCUGCCAAAUGCUUUUCUCAGUUAAAAGAUAUUUUCUCAUAGAAAACUGAGCGUUUUCUUUCCUCACCUCCUAUUAGCUAUUUCAGUGAUCAUUUUAUAAGUUAAAAGCUAUAAAUGAAACAAAGAAAAAAAUUUUUUAACAUUUUUGCCUUGUACUCAAACUUUACUACUAAAAAUUAAAUUCCCAGAAUACCAGUCUAUUAGCAACCUCUUUGUAGAGAAAUUAACUAUUCUGUACCCAACAUAUUUAUUUAUUUAUUAUCCAGCCAUAGCAAAAUAACAAAACAAGACAAAAAAGAUUUGCUAAAACAGUUAUUUGCUUUUUCUCCUUCCCUUCUAUACUCCAUGUAUAUAUAUAUAUGUAUAUGGUCAGUGAUUCCAUUAAAGGGAAGCUGGUCAUGAAAAAAAUUCUAUGUUUUCUCCCUAUAUUAUAUAUCAUGUCAUGUAUCGAAUACAGUGGAUAAAGAACUUGAGGUAGUGUUCCAAUGACAUUAGUUUCUAUGAGAGAACAGAUGUAGUGAGAGUUUUAAUGGGGUUUAUGAGAAGGCCCUCUUUAAAGUGUAUAUUACUCUGUAAACAUUUCACUCAAGGGCCAGAAGUUAAAGUAUAACUAAAUCGCUGUGUUGUCAGAAUAAUAUUUAACAUUAACAAGAACAAACCCAUGGUCAAACCAAAAAAUAGUGGGUUGAAGUAUACAUUUCAUUUUCUAAUGCAUUGGCAAUUCGGAUGACAAAGAAAUUUAAUAUAAAGCUGUAGAGAUAAAUUCAGUGUCUAACCUUUUUUUUUAAUUUAUUUAAAUAGUUGUGGCAUUCUAGUCUUUACAUUUUAUGUCUGUCUUAUUACUGUUCCUUCUUUCUAACACUUGUUUUCUGUAGGUUCACUGAAUGCACAAUAGUCACAUUUCACAUGACUCAACUCCCAAGUGGUGUUAAUCAUUGGGCCUGUGUCAUAAAAUGCAUGGAUCUUUAAUACCUACAUGUCGCUGACACUUUUCACUACAGGGCUGGACUUAGUAACUGACCAACUCGGGGGGGGGAGGGGGCGCUGGGGUAUUAGAACAUGAUCAAAAUGUCUCUGCUCAGGGAUUUAUGGUGGAUCAUUGCAGACAGUGCUAAAAAUGUAGAGCACAAGACAAGUUUACUAAAUUAAAAUUUUAUUUUUUGAAAAACUGUUAUUUGUAUAAAUUAUCAAGAUUUGUAGGCUUUCCUUUUGUAGAAAUAAUUGUUUGAUGUGCCAGAGAAUUUCAAUUUUGUUUUGAACAAUAAAGCAUUGAUAACAAA